GAAUGGACUAUCGCUGCGCGGCCGGGUCCUGUGCCCGUCGCACUUCUCGCUGGAGCGCGUCAACAGCUGCUGAGCGUGGCCCACACGGUUCAGUGGAAGGUGAGCGACCAGCUCGCUGGUCGUUGUUAUAGCCGCUGGCACCCAGGUUGCGUUUGGCAGAGGGGAGCGGUGCAUGCUCUCCCUUUUUGCGGAGGGCUGGCGUCCUGUUCCGUUCAYGUAGCUGGCUUGGAUGCACUGCGUGCAGUACGUUCUCGCCGGUGAAAUGGCGUGCAGUCAACGCACACGAUGCACCAUGGUUGUUGGCGGCCAUAUGGCUUUAUCCGACCCGUCUUGAAACACGGACCAAGGAGUCUAACAUGUGCGCAAGUCCUGGGGUGACCGAAACCCAGAGGCGCAAUGAAAGUGAAGGCCACUCCGAGUGGCCGAGGUGAGAUCCUUGCUCUACGCGGGUGAGGCGCAUCAUCGACCGACCUAUUCUACUCUUAGGAAGGUUUGAGUAAGAGCGUACAUGCUGGGACCCGAAA
RNAcentral lists this ribosomal RNA (524 nucleotides) under Aurelia cebimarensis. RNAcentral's name for it is "partial large subunit ribosomal RNA". The record is from RNAcentral. Lineage: Eukaryota; Metazoa; Cnidaria; Scyphozoa; Semaeostomeae; Ulmaridae.